GCGGUAUCCUAACCGUGCAAAGGUAGCGCAAUCACUUGUCCCCUAAAUAGGGACCAGUAUGAACGGCUAAAUGAGGGUACAACUGUCUCCUACGGCCAAUCAAUGAAACUGAUCCUCCAGUACAAAAGCUGGAAUAAACACACAAGACGAGAAGACCCUGUGGAGCUUUAAAUACCACCACUAACCACCAUAAAUGACAUAGUGGAUAUUUUAAGUUGGGGCGACUACGGAGUAAAACAAAACCUCCACGACACUAGGGCCCAACCCCCCAAAGGACAACACACCUACAGGAACCACACAAAUGACCCAGACAGCUGAGUACCGAACCAAGUUACCCCAGGGAUAACAGCGCCAUCCCCCUCAAGAGUCCAUAUCGCCAGGGGGGCUUACGACCUCGAUGUUGGAUCAGGACACCCAAGUGGUGCAGCCGCUACUAAAGGUCCGUUUGUUCAACGGCUAACGUCCUACGUGAUCUGAG
This 478-nucleotide ribosomal RNA is filed under the name Cyrtodactylus rubidus (red bow-fingered gecko). RNAcentral describes it as "partial large subunit ribosomal RNA". It matches the Rfam family "Bacterial large subunit ribosomal RNA", at positions 1933 to 2609 of the family's 2925-position model. The record is from RNAcentral. Lineage: Eukaryota; Metazoa; Chordata; Lepidosauria; Squamata; Gekkonidae.